AACGAACGCUGGCGGCAGGCCUAACACAUGCAAGUCGAGCGAACCCUUCGGGGUUAGCGGCGGACGGGUUAGUAACGCGUGGGAAUAUACCCUUUGGUACGGAAUAGCCUCGGGAAACUGAGAGUAAUACCGUAUGUGCCCUUCGGGGGAAAGAUUUAUCGCCAAAGGAUUAGCCCGCGUUGGAUUAGGUAGUUGGUGGGGUAAUGGCCUACCAAGCCUACGAUCCAUAGCUGGUUUGAGAGGAUGAUCAGCAACACUGGGACUGAGACACGGCCCAGACUCCUACGGGAGGCAGCAGUGGGGAAUCUUAGACAAUGGGCGCAAGCCUGAUCUAGCCAUGCCGCGUGGACGAUGAAGGCCUUAGGGUUGUAAAGUCCUUUCAGAUGGGAAGAUAAUGACGGUACCAUCAGAAGAAGCCCCGGCUAACUCCGUGCCAGCAGCCGCGG
This 446-nucleotide ribosomal RNA is filed under the name uncultured bacterium. RNAcentral's name for it is "bacterial SSU rRNA". It matches the Rfam family "Bacterial small subunit ribosomal RNA", at positions 29 to 520 of the family's 1533-position model. The record is from RNAcentral.